RNAcentral lists this ribosomal RNA (384 nucleotides) under uncultured bacterium. RNAcentral's name for it is "bacterial SSU rRNA". It matches the Rfam family "Bacterial small subunit ribosomal RNA", at positions 29 to 416 of the family's 1533-position model. The record is from RNAcentral.
AUUGAACGCUGGCGGAAUGCUUUACACAUGCAAGUCGAACGGCAGCACGGGGCAACCUGGUGGCGAGUGGCGAACGGGUGAGUAAUACAUCGGAACGUGCCCAAUCGUGGGGGAUAACGUAGCGAAAGCUACGCUAAUACCGCAUACGAUCUACGGAUGAAAGCGGGGGAUCGCAAGACCUCGCGCGAAUGGAGCGGCCGAUGGCAGAUUAGGUAGUUGGUGGGGUAAAGGCCUACCAAGGCGACGAUCCGUAGCUGGUCUGAGAGGACGACCAGCCACACUGGAACUGAGACACGGUCCAGACUCCUACGGGAGGCAGCAGUGGGGAAUUUUGGACAAUGGGGGCAACCCUGAUCCAGCCAUUCCGCGUGAGUGAAGAAGGCC